This 333-nucleotide unclassified non-coding RNA is filed under the name uncultured fungus. RNAcentral's name for it is "sequence contains ITS2". The stretch from base 1 to 52 matches the Rfam family "5.8S ribosomal RNA", at positions 103 to 154 of the family's 154-position model. The record is from RNAcentral. Lineage: Eukaryota; Fungi.
AACGCACCUUGCGCCCCUUGGUAUCCCGAGGGGCAUGCCUGUUUGAGUGUCAUUAAAUUCUCAACUUGACCUGAAUUUUUUGGAGUCGAGCUUGGACUUGGAGCAUGCCGGCCUCACCUACCACAAGGUUGGCUUCUCUGAAAAGCAUUAGCAAAACCUGAUUGGGCUCAAUCAAGCUUUUGUUGGCAUUGAUAAAUUAACCCCUGUCUAUGUCGCUGGCUGAACCGAGAGCGCGCCUCUCAUGCUAUUUUGCUUCCAAUUGUUCGCUUUCUUCACACAAAGCACAUUUUUAAACAUGACCUCAGAUCAGGUAGGACUACCCGCUGAACUUAA